RNAcentral lists this ribosomal RNA (275 nucleotides) under uncultured Desulfobulbus sp. RNAcentral's name for it is "partial 16S ribosomal RNA". It matches the Rfam family "Bacterial small subunit ribosomal RNA", at positions 1109 to 1382 of the family's 1533-position model. The record is from RNAcentral. Lineage: Bacteria; Pseudomonadati; Thermodesulfobacteriota; Desulfobulbia; Desulfobulbales; Desulfobulbaceae.
GUUUAGUUGCCAGCAGUUCGGCUGGGCACUCUAAAGGGGACUGCCGGGUGUUAAACCGGAGGAAGGUGGGGAUGACGUCAAGUCCUCAUGGCCUUUAUGACCAGGGCUACACACGUACUACAAUGGCCGAUACAAAGGGCAGCGACACUGCGAGGUGAAGCCAAUCCCGUAAAAUCGGUCUCAGUCCGGAUUGGAGUCUGCAACUCGACUCCAUGAAGUUGGAAUCGCUAGUAAUCGUGGAUCAGCAUGCCACGGUGAAUACGUUCCCGGGCCUU